Molecule: microRNA precursor, 98 nt
Filed under: Plutella xylostella (diamondback moth)
Lineage: Eukaryota; Metazoa; Arthropoda; Insecta; Lepidoptera; Plutellidae
Description: microRNA pxy-mir-8521b precursor (pxy-mir-8521b-2)
Rfam family: mir-8521 microRNA precursor family (bases 16-83)
Source: miRBase by way of RNAcentral
UUCGUUCUUGUCUCUGGCGCGGCAGUCAGAAUUCGGGACGAGCCCGGAGCGGUGGCUUGUCCCGAAUUUUGACUCGGCCAAAUGAAAACCAGAACGUA